GACGAACGCUGGCGGCGUGCUUAACACAUGCAAGUCGAACGGAAAGGCCCUUCGGGGUACUCGAGUGGCGAACGGGUGAGUAACACGUGGGUGAUCUGCCCUGCACUUUGGGAUAAGCCUGGGAAACUGGGUCUAAUACCGAAUAGGACCACGCGCUGCAUGGUGUGUGGUGGAAAGCUUUUGCGGUGUGGGAUGGGCCCGCGGCCUAUCAGCUUGUUGGUGGGGUAAUGGCCUACCAAGGCGACGACGGGUAGCCGGCAUGAGAGGGUGACCGGCCACAAUGGGACUGAGAUACGGCGCAGACUGCUACGGGAGGCAGCAGUGGGGAAUAUUGCACAAUGGGGGCAAGCCUGAUGCAGAGACGCCGCGUGAGGGAUGACGGCCUUCGGGUUGUAAACCUCUUUAAAUAGGGACGAAGCGCAAGUGACGGUACCUAUAGAAGAAGCACCGGCCAACUACGUG
This 462-nucleotide ribosomal RNA is filed under the name uncultured bacterium. Its description in RNAcentral is "partial 16S ribosomal RNA". It matches the Rfam family "Bacterial small subunit ribosomal RNA", at positions 28 to 507 of the family's 1533-position model. The record is from RNAcentral.